RNAcentral lists this transfer RNA (77 nucleotides) under Calditerricola satsumensis. Its description in RNAcentral is "tRNA-Arg". It matches the Rfam family "tRNA". From Rfam's summary of the family: Transfer RNA (tRNA) molecules are approximately 80 nucleotides in length. Their secondary structure includes four short double-helical elements and three loops (D, anti-codon, and T loops). Further hydrogen bonds mediate the characteristic L-shaped molecular structure. tRNAs have two regions of fundamental functional importance: the anti-codon, which is responsible for specific mRNA codon recognition, and the 3' end, to which the tRNAs corresponding amino acid is attached (by aminoacyl-tRNA synthetases). tRNAs cope with the degeneracy of the genetic code in two manners: having more than one tRNA (with a specific anti-codon) for a particular amino acid; and 'wobble' base-pairing, i.e. permitting non-standard base-pairing at the 3rd anti-codon position. The record is from RNAcentral. RNAcentral also lists the same sequence under 4 other names. Lineage: Bacteria; Bacillati; Bacillota; Bacilli; Caryophanales; Bacillaceae.
GCGCCCGUAGCUCAGUUGGAUAGAGCGUCUGACUACGAAUCAGAAGGUCGGGAGUUCGAAUCUCUCCGGGCGCACCA